This 85-nucleotide transfer RNA is filed under the name Burkholderia vietnamiensis. RNAcentral describes it as "tRNA-Ser". It matches the Rfam family "tRNA". From Rfam's summary of the family: Transfer RNA (tRNA) molecules are approximately 80 nucleotides in length. The record is from RNAcentral. Lineage: Bacteria; Pseudomonadati; Pseudomonadota; Betaproteobacteria; Burkholderiales; Burkholderiaceae.
GGAAACGUGGCCGAGCGGUUUAAGGCACCGGUCUGGAAAACCGACGACAGGAAGCCGUCCGUGAGUUCGCAUCUCACCGUUUCUG